RNAcentral lists this long non-coding RNA (313 nucleotides) under Gossypium raimondii (Peruvian cotton). RNAcentral describes it as "long non-coding RNA (GRAI_LNC002491)". Lineage: Eukaryota; Viridiplantae; Streptophyta; Magnoliopsida; Malvales; Malvaceae. The record is from RNAcentral.
UACGAAUGUCAAAGCAAAGGUGGCUGUCGGACUCUGCAGAAUUCACCUUCGUUUGAUACGGUUAACCUCGAUGGAGGCUUGCAAGAAGUAUGGAUUUUACUUGCCAUGGCGCUAGGCUACCGAUUGUGUGCUUACUUUUGCCUGCGCAAAAGAAUCAGUGGAUGUCAUAUUUGAGCAGGAUUCUACUUUGCUGAUGAAUAUAUGUAACAAAAGACAAAGGUCGAGGGGCUUUGAUUACUCCUCACCUGUUAACUUUUGAAUUCCAAGCAUGUGCAGAAGUUCUAAAACAAUGUCAUUAAAUUUUCAAGGUGUC